AUUGGAUCAAUGAUUUUAGUUAAUUAAACUGCGUUAUCUAUCUGCAAUUCUCCUCUUUCUAGGAGUUUGAAGAAAACCAUUAAAACCUGAGAUCCAGU
This is a non-coding RNA of Brassica napus (rape), 98 nucleotides long. Lineage: Eukaryota; Viridiplantae; Streptophyta; Magnoliopsida; Brassicales; Brassicaceae. The record is from Rfam.